Pipistrellus kuhlii (Kuhl's pipistrelle) is the source of this 1142-nucleotide long non-coding RNA. RefSeq lists it as uncharacterized. NCBI's taxonomy places the organism in Eukaryota, Metazoa, Chordata, Mammalia, Chiroptera, Vespertilionidae. The transcript has 2 exons. The record is from RefSeq and is a predicted model, not a curated record.
UUGUAGUUCUGCACCGAGAUCUGGUCGUUGAGGAACUGCACGCAGAGCCUGGUGACCUGCGGGAUGUGCAGGAUCUUGCUCACCGACAGCACCUCCUCCGCCGUGUCCAGGGACAGGGUCACGUUGGCCGUGUAGAGGCUGGCGACUUCGCUGCUGAGCUGAAACUGCUAAUUUCUGUGACCAGCUUUUUUCUUAGCUGUGAUCUGGAUGAAUGAGUAGCUGUCUCACAGAGAUGACAAAAAUAAACUCUAAUCCCCCCCAAAAUUUCCACCACAUCUUUCUCAUGCAUAGAUUUAUGAUCUUCAAGCGCUCCGUGCAAUAUGCAAACUUUUUUUUGUGUAUCCGUAUGUAAGCUGUUGUCUCCAGAUUUCACUGUAGUGGUAGGCUGCUCGCCGCCCCCCCCCCCCCCCACACACACACACACCCACCACACACACACACCAUGAAAUGCAGAAACUGCCUGGCUCAGAGGGUGCCAAGGUGCCACUUGACAAUGUCUCCCAUAUUUGGGGUGUGAGUCUGAAGACACUGGCCCUUGCCUGAGGGGGUGGGGGAUGGGAGGCAGCACUGGCUCCCAUUUGUUUCUCUGCACCAUCCAAGCCCUGGGAGCUCCUGGGGAAACAUUCCCUCCAUCAUUUUGUGUGAUUCAACAACCCUCUCUGAACUUCGCUGUCAGCUCCACAGAUAAGGGUUCAGAAGGCACAUUUUUUUUUUUAAUUAUUAUUGGAAGAUUAUCUUAGUGUCAGAUUUGUCUUCCCAUUAGGAGUCUUUUGAUUUACAAGGGCUGGAACCAAGCCCUAGGAAACUCAGCUGCAAUUUCACAAAGGUAACCUUUCAACUCUGAGGUUCAUCUGAUAAAUAAGGUCAACCGCGGAGGGCUCACAUUCCUGACCCUGCUUAGCAUGCAGAGCGACCCCAGCGGGAGGCCCAGGCCCAGCUGGGCCAGAGGCUCCUGUGCAGUGGGUGGAGGACAGGCUCCCUGCUCCCUAGACUUACCCCCUGAUGUACUGCGCCAUUAUGUUUAUGGCCCUGCAUUUUGGCUGUCAAUGGGGGUUGGAGGUGUCCAAGAAAGAAAGAAAGAAAGAAAAAAAGCAGAAACAGGAAGGUACGCCCUUGAACAAAAUAAACGUGGAAGAAAGCUA